RNAcentral lists this transfer RNA (58 nucleotides) under Alteromonas sp. RNAcentral's name for it is "tRNA-Lys". It matches the Rfam family "tRNA", at positions 8 to 63 of the family's 71-position model. From Rfam's summary of the family: Transfer RNA (tRNA) molecules are approximately 80 nucleotides in length. Their secondary structure includes four short double-helical elements and three loops (D, anti-codon, and T loops). Lineage: Bacteria; Pseudomonadati; Pseudomonadota; Gammaproteobacteria; Alteromonadales; Alteromonadaceae. The record is from RNAcentral.
UAGCUCAGUUGGUAGAGCAGUUGACUUUUAAUCAAUUGGUCGCUGGUUCGAAUCCAGC